GAGUUCGUGGUGUAACGGUAGCACACUCGGCGCGUAUUCGAAAGGUCCAGGUUCGAAUCCCGGCGAGGGCA
This 71-nucleotide transfer RNA is filed under the name Stegodyphus mimosarum. It matches the Rfam family "tRNA". From Rfam's summary of the family: Transfer RNA (tRNA) molecules are approximately 80 nucleotides in length. Their secondary structure includes four short double-helical elements and three loops (D, anti-codon, and T loops). The record is from Rfam by way of RNAcentral. Lineage: Eukaryota; Metazoa; Arthropoda; Arachnida; Araneae; Eresidae.